Molecule: ribosomal RNA, 409 nt
Filed under: uncultured bacterium
Lineage: Bacteria
Description: bacterial SSU rRNA
Rfam family: Bacterial small subunit ribosomal RNA
Source: RNAcentral
CAGCAGCCGCGGUAAUACGUAGGAGGCAAGCGUUAUCCGGAUUCACUGGGCGUAAAGCGCGUGCAGGCGGUGCGGUAAGUUGGGCGUGAAAGCUCCCGGCUCAACUGGGAGAGGUCGUCCAAUACUACCGUACUAGAGAGCAGAAGAGGAAGAUGGAAUUCCCGGUGUAGUGGUGAAAUGCGUAGAUAUCGGGAGGAACACCAGUGGCGAAGGCGAUCUUCUGGUCUGUUUCUGACGCUCAGACGCGACAGCUAGGGUAGUAAACGGGAUUAGAGACCCCGGUAAUCCUAGCCGUAAACGAUGUGAACUUGGCGUUGGUGGGUUAAACUCCAUCAGUGCCGUAGCAAACGCGAUAAGUUCACCGCCUGGGGACUACGGCCGCAAGGUUAAAACUCAAAGGAAUUGACGG